CCUACGGGCUGCACCAGUGGGGAAUAUUGCACAAUGGGCGCAAGCCUGAUGCAGCCAUGCCGCGUGUAUGAAGAAGGCCUUCGGGUUGUAAAGUACUUUCAGCGGGGAGGAAGGUGUUGAGGUUAAUAACCUCAGCAAAUGACGUUACCCGCAGAAGAAGCACCGGCUAACUCCGUGCCAGCAGCCGCGGUAAUACGGAGGGUGCAAGCGUUAAUCGGAAUUACUGGGCGUAAAGCGCACGCAGGCGGUCUGUCAAGUCGGAUGUGAAAUCCCCGGGCUCAACCUGGGAACUGCAUUCGAAACUGGCAGGCUAGAGUCUUGUAGAGGGGGGUAGAAUUCCAGGUGUAGCGGUGAAAUGCGUAGAGAUCUGGAGGAAUACCGGUGGCGAAGGCGGCCCCCUGGACAAAGACUGACGCUCAGGUGCGAAAGCGUGGGGGGCAAACAGGAUUAGAUACCCCAGUAGUC
Molecule: ribosomal RNA, 465 nt
Filed under: uncultured bacterium
Lineage: Bacteria
Description: bacterial SSU rRNA
Rfam family: Bacterial small subunit ribosomal RNA
Source: RNAcentral